GAUGAGCGCUGGCGGCGUGCCUAAUACAUGCAAGUCGAGCGAACAGACGAGGAGCUUGCUCCUCUGACGUUAGCGGCGGACGGGUGAGUAACACGUGGAUAACCUACCUAUAAGACUGGGAUAACUUCGGGAAACCGGAGCUAAUACCGGAUAAUAUAUUGAACCGCAUGGUUCAAUAGUGAAAGACGGUUUUGCUGUCACUUAUAGAUGGAUCCGCGCCGCAUUAGCUAGUUGGUAAGGUAACGGCUUACCAAGGCGACGAUGCGUAGCCGACCGGAGAGGGUGAUCGGCCACACUGGAACUGAGACACGGUCCAGACUCCUACGGGAGGCAGCAGUAGGGAAUCUUCCGCAAUGGGCGAAAGCCUGACGGAGCAACGCCGCGUGAGUGAUGAAGGUCUUCGGAUCGUAAAACUCUGUUAUUAGGGAAGAACAAAUGUGUAAGUAACUAUGCACGUCUUGACGGUACCUAAUCAGAAAGCCACGGCUAACUACGUG
RNAcentral lists this ribosomal RNA (497 nucleotides) under uncultured bacterium. RNAcentral describes it as "partial 16S ribosomal RNA". It matches the Rfam family "Bacterial small subunit ribosomal RNA", at positions 28 to 507 of the family's 1533-position model. The record is from RNAcentral.